UUCGAAAACGAAGGAAAAGAGAAGAGAAUCACUUGUGGACUUGUGCAUAAAGUACAAUAUUAAGUGUAUUUUCAUUUCAACUUUCCCCCCACAAAAUGCCCCAUUUUUGCUAGUUUUUCGAGUGAAUAUCGCAGUGCUAAGUGCCCCAAACGCAAUUCAUGUGUCUUUUAUGUGGAAUUCAACGGGAAUUUGGGGAAAAUUGAGGAAAAAAUAAACCCCUUUUGACAGACGGGAAAUGGUAGCUUUUUACGGGCGACGACGCAGUGAAUAGGUGGCGUUGUUGACGUAUCAGCAAUUUGUGGGGUUCUGAGGAGGAAUACGGUGUGUGAUAGUGAUAUUUUUUUUUAUAAAGUGAAAUCUCUUGCUUUAGGAAAAACAAAUUAAAAUAAAUUAUAUGAACUGAUGAGAAUAAUAGUGGUGGAGUAUGGCAACCCGAGAAAGAAAAGCCAAAUUGAGUGCAGAAUCACCCACUCCGAGUGCUGGGAAUGAAUCUACGCCAACAACUCCGACAAAUGCCAGUGCCGGAGGUGGAAAGGGUGGGCGUAAGGUGUCAAGUGGUGGAGCAUCUGUUGGCACAACAACGGGAAGGGUGAGGUCAACACGUGGAACAAAUGCGCAACAGGUGGCUGAAGAAGGGGAGCUCGAGAAGGAGAAGGAAAAGACGGAGGAGAAUGCUGAGGUGGUGAGUGAGCCAGUGGCAGUUAAAACGCCACGAACACCACGUGCAAGUAGGGCAACAACGACUGUAGCCCAGAAAGCGGCUGAAGCAAAAGCAGCAGAAGCAAAAGCAGCCGAAGCAAAAGCAGCCGAAGCAAAAGCAGCCGAAGCAAAAGCAGCCGAAGCAAAAGCAGCCGAAGCAAAAGCAGCAGAAGCAAAAGCAGCAGAAGCGAAGGCAGCAGAAGCAAAAGCAGCAGAAGCAAAAGUAGAAGAGACAAAGGAAGCUUCAGAAGAAAAAGGGGACGAUGCAUCAGUUGAAGUGAAAAAUAAUGAGGAGGCUGCAGGUGAUGCUGCCGAUGAGGAAUCACAGAAGACUACCACUUCUAGUCCAAGGACACUUAGGAAGUCUGCAACACCCACAGCAAAAGGCAGUGGAGGAAAACGACGGAGACGUGUUAAGCGUGAUGGUGUAGUACGUCCAAGGGCUAUAAUGAAGAGAAAAACUAUGCCAGCAAUUCCUAGUCGUUCUGCUUCAGCUGCUGCAAUGGUAACAAGGCGCAAUAGUAUUGCCAAGAUUGAAGCCAUCGCUAAGGCUAUCAAAGAGGAGACCGUUGCUGUUCGGAAGUCCACAAGAACUCGUCGUAAGACAAAGAUUGCGGAUGAAGAGCCUGUGAAGCGGAAGCGAAAGCGAAUGAUGUCAGAGCAGGAAAAAGUAGAAGAGCCACCGAAGGAAGAUGCAGAAAUGAAACAGCCAGAAAAGGUGACUAAGAGUGAAGUUCUGUCGGAUACGGAAUUAAUAAGGAGGCGUUCCGAUUCUGUGUCAAAGUACUCAGACACAACGGAUAACUCAAGCUUCUACGAUGCUGCAACAUUUAAGAGUGGACCAGAGGAAUGGGGUCGUGAUAGCAAUGCAACACCCAAAGUUGAUGCUGAAAAUGAGGAAGUUAAGGUGGAAAAUGUUGAAAUGGAGGAAGAAUCAACUGCUGCUGAGGCCAAACCGGCAGCGGUAAAAGAAGAAACAAAAGUAGAGGAGACUGAAACAGUCCGGGUGAAGAAGAAAAGGCAGACAAUUCUAGUGAGACGAAGUCGACGAGCUCGAAAGAGUACGCAAAAAGAGAGUGAAGUGGAAGUAGCAGCAGUUGUUGCAAAGACAGCUAAAGUGGCUGAGAAUAAGACUGAUGGAUCAGAGUCUGUGAUGAAUUCCGUGGAGGACACAGAUGUCAACACUGCAAAAGGUGCUCCGCUGCAUGUUGAGACGGUCGUGAAGGAAUCAACAGCAGUGGAUGAUGAGGCAAAAGAAGGCAACGAAGAGGUUGACGUGAAGAAGACUAAAGCGUCAUCCUUGAGUCCGGAACUUGUGAGUGAAGGUGUAUCACCCAUAAGUGUUCAGCAAUUUUAUGGGCAACCGGCAUUUCUGGAGAAUAAUUUGGGUAUUGAGGAAGAUCCCAAACUUCGUGAGAUUGUUCAAGUCAAAGAGAAAAUUAAGCAAGUAGAAAGUACGGAGACUCAGGAGGAUGCAAAGGAAGAAAUGAAGAUGGAGGAAAAAGUGGAGAAGGUUGAGGAAAAAGAGGAAGAAAGUGAGAUCAAGGAAAUUGUAAAUGGAACAACCGAGGAUGAAAUUAAAGAUGAUUUGAAAACUGAGGAAGACAACAAGCCUGAGGAGAAGGAAAUUGUCAUGGAUACGGAGGAGAAGAAGGAAGAAGCUGUUGAAGAGGAAGUGCCGAAAGUUGAGGAAGUGGAAGAAGAAAACAAAAAUACCGAAGAUAUCACGGAGACCAUUGCUGAAAAUCUAGAUUCAAAUGAAGCCACAGAAGAUCAAAGUAAGACAAAUGACAAGGAGAAUGUUGUGUCAAAUGGAGAAGCUCCGCAACAAAUGGAAAAAGAUGACAAACUCACAAUGGUUGAUGAUACCUCCAAGUCACCACUUUUAGAAUCUCCAGAGACUCGUCUGAAGAAGGAGUGUCACCUGAAAUCCCUAGGACUUUUGACGCAUGAAGCUGCUGUGGAGGCAAAAAUUGAGAAAGCACGUCGUCGUGAAUUUUUCAAAAGUACAGCCAACAAUUCUUCCCUAUCCUCGGCAUCGUCAACAUCAUCGGGUUCUUCAGUGUCUUCACAGCAAUCGAAUGGUACGAGAAAUGGGAAGAGUGGACGUGGACAUGGUGGUGGACAAGAAUAUACAGGUACCCUGAAGACUGUGAUAAAGCUCCAUCGACCGCAAUCGCAGGAGAAGCGCAAGACCAGAAUGCCACUUAAGAUGACAUUCCAGAAGGGUAGAGUUAAAUCGGCAAACAGUGGCAAUGAUAAGGAUCAAGUUAAUCUCUCCAAUUCUGACGAUGACACCUACUACACAAUACAGAAUGAGACGGAUGGACCGAAUGCUGAUACAGUUCAUGGUGGGAUAAGUCGAAAAACUCAUUACCGCUCUCACACUGGUGAUUCAGCUGCAAAUACAAGUGUUUCAGCUGAACCAUCCAAAGAGGUGCAAAAGGCUCUGGUGAUACCAGAGAAAGCAUCUUCGUUUAGUAUUCAUCCAGGACGGCUGUGUCAGGAUCAAUGUUUCUACUGUGGUGGGAAGUUUGGUCUUUUCGAUACUCCCUGCCAUGUAGCACAAAUUAAAUCUCUGGAGCGUCAGAAGAAGAUUCUAGACAAUGAGGAGAAAUUGACCGUUGAUAAUUGCUUAUGCGAUGCAUGCUACCGUCAUGUUGAUCGUCGUGCCAAUUGUCCAUCGUAUAGGAAUAAGAGGCAAUCUGCUGCACUUGCAACAUCUGACUACAAUAAAGAAGAAACUGCUGCUGAUUCAAUUCAACAUGAACCAGAAGAAGUUAGAUCAUCUGCACUGUGUCUUGUGACUGGAUGCGGUGAGGCAUCGUCACAUUUGUUGCGCAGAAAAUGGUUCUCAAAGAUGCGAAAGCCCAUCAAUAAGUUGAUUAGGUUGAAUGUUGAUGUCUCAAAUGCUCAUGGAUUGGGCCAAGUGCCAAUUUGUCAUAAACACUAUGAUAUCAUAAGUCACCUAAUGGUGUGUGUCUUAUGCAAGAGAAAACUGCCAAGAAAUCAUAUUUUCUACAUUAAUCAGGAAAUAAAGCGCUUGGAGCAAUUAAUUAGGAAACAGGGUAUCCCUGUGAUUCUAGGAACUAAUGCUGUUGUAUGCAAAUUGUGCAGAUAUUAUACAAAUCUUUUGUUAAAGCCACCAGAUCGUAAGACACAGAGAGCACAGUUUGUCAGGAGUUACCGACGUCGUUUGCUAUCUUUUCACAAUGUUGAGAUGUUGGAGGCAUCUGAUGACAAGGAGGGUGGUGAUCAGAGGACACAGCCGGCCAAAAGGCGUGGUAGGAAGUCACCGGAUGAGGAACAGGAGAAUGAUCAAGAGUUGUCUGAUCAGAAUGAUUCGUCACAAAAUACCUCAGGGCAGAUAGUCUUGGAUAAUGAUGUGAUGGUAGAUUAUGAUGUUCCAGUUUUGGAUGGUGGUGCAUUUGCAGUGGGACAAAAGGGGAAGCAGCAGCAGCAGAAGAUGCAGAGUUUACUGUUGCCGCGGAAUCAGCAAUUGCGUGAGAAGCAACAGAGAUUGCAGGCGAUACAGAAGGAAAAUGAGAUUUCGCGAAUGCUGAGGACAAAUCCGAAUAUUUCGAUGAGGGAGUUGUUUCCGGGUGAGGAUGAAAUGGGUUUACAGGUGUAUUUGCCAUUUGGUCAAGGUGGUCAUAGGACACCGGAAGGAUGGACAAGAGCUACAAGUAUCCUGCAGUAUGAUGAUGCAACGAAAAUGUUGUGGGAAGAACUGCAGAAGCCCUAUGGCAAUCAAUCGAGUUUCAUAAGGCAUUUGGUGUUACUGGAGAAAUAUUUCCGGAAUGGUGAUCUUAUUCUAUCGCCAGCAGCUAGUAGCAAUGCCGUAACGUACUCAGAAUCUGUGCAGAAUCGUCUGAAGUCCUUUGAUAAUGUCACAUCGGAUAGUUUGAGUAUUUUUCAUCAACUCAGCAAUGCUCCAAUCACAAUAACACCUGCCAAUCCAAAAGGGAGAACUAGCUCGGGUGCUAGGUAUAGCGAUGGUGCAUCGGGAUCAUCAACGAGUCUCCUCAAGUCCAAUAAUACCCGGAAGGAGGAUGGAUUUGGAAGUCCGGAUAAGGGAUACAGUAAGAGUCAGGAGGGAGCUGCUAGUGGUGGUGUUAGUAUUAUUAAGAAGUCAUCUGCUGGAGGUAUUCCGCCGGAUUUGAUUAGUAUCACAACAACGCCGUCUAAUAAGUCCUCAGCAGCGGGAAUUGAUACAAUUACCGUAACAGCCACGGGAGGUCAGAAGGGAACUUCUCCUCCCGUUGCUGGUGCUACUCCUUCGCCCCCGCCUAAUACUGUGCCGCCUCAUGUCAAUCCCAAGGAUGUCAUAGUGAAAUUGCCAGAAUCACUGAGUCCGGCUGAGAGGCGACUGGUCAAUGGUAAAGCCUGGAGGCCAACUUUGAUGCCAAUUGCACCACUUGAGCGUGAUUCCAGCCGGGAUGGUGUCAAUACACUGUAUCAGACUGCCGACGGACGUCUCCUGCCGAGUCGGGUGCAAGUGAUGUCCGGCGGAAAGCCCUAUCACAUAUCAAUCUAUGAUUACAAUAGAAUGUGCAUACUGCGUCGAGAGAAGAUUCUGCAGAAGGCCAUGGCGGCACAGCAGGGAAAACCUGAAAAUGGUCAGAAGGCAGGAGGAUCCGGAGGAGGAGAAAGAUCUCCACCGUCGCAACAGCCAACAGCAUCGACAUCUAAGGGAAAAGUUAGCAUACCAAAUAAGAUUUUGGAGCAGAAUUCGGUGUUGCCAAUUGGCUCAAAGUCCAGUGGGACAACAUCAUCGUCAGAGUUGCAGUCGUUGAUAAAGGUGCGAAAGCCCAAUCCGACAUCAUUGCUCAAGAAUCAGAUUCCAAUAGCUCCGAAGCCACCAGUUCAGCAGCAACCAUCUGCCAUUUCGGCUAUUGUGUCCCUAUCUACGACAACUACUAUGCCAAAUGCCAAUCCUAUGAUGUCAAUUAUUGAUCUGAUGAAGACUACAACCUCAUCACCGUCUGCCGCCACAUCCAUGUGGUUGCUCAAUGAACCACUCAAUGGACCAGCAACUGGUGCAGGGGCCAUUGUAACGGACACCUCGGCAGCAUCACUUCUGUCCAAGAUACCAAAAUCACUCACAGUGAUUCCGCAGCAGAAGGGAAGUCGAUCGGGAUCGAGGGUAUCCUCCGGCGAGGACCAAAGUAGUGCCUAACAAAAGUGUUUCAAUUUCCUCAAUCAAAUGGGAAAGGAAAUCAUUUUAUCUCAGUAGCGGCCUCGCUCUUGCAUCCAUACAAAAACACGAUAAAUUGUGGCUGAAAAAGGAUAAAAUUUUAUCAUAUAUAGAUUUUGAUUAGGGAAUGAAAUCGAUAAAAGACAAUUCCAUAUUUUUCUAUGGACAACCUUGAAUUAAAGUAAAAAAGAAAUAUAUAAGAAAGAAGAAAAAAUAUGCUUGAUAAACAGAGAAAAAUGUUAAGCAAUAAAGUGUAUUUAACUGAUGUGACUUUGAUUGAAGGUAAAAGAUGCAUAAAAAAGUUAGCGAUGAGGAAUUUUUUCAAGCAAUACCGAUUGUUUAUUUUAUUGCUUUCACUGGGAAAAAUUAUUGAGCAAAAGAUAUUUUUAAGCACCCAGAUGAAAGGGAAUAAUGAUAAUCUUAUUUGAGACAUAAGAGAAUAUUUUUUUAUCACAAAUUUCACUGACUUAUUGUAACAAAUAAAUUAAAUAUUAGUGAUAUGGAUGAUCACCCAAGAAAUAUAUUAAUGUAAAUAUUAAAGAAAAAAAAAACACAAUUUUUGCAUGUAGACUAAUAAGAAAACAGGAAAGUUGCGCGAGAGUGAAAAAUACGAGAUAGAAGACAGCAACAAAAUUAGGUUUAAAUGUGGCCUUUGGAGUAAUAAAUUUCGCGGGAGAAUAUAUAUUGUAAAAAAAAACAAAAAAUAAAAGGAUAUUUUAUUGCCACUUUUACUAACAAAGCAUAAUCACGUGUUAUCACACCACAAAAUUUUUUUGGGAAAGAAGUUUGUGCGGUAGACAAUAUAGUGGAUUUUUUUUUUUUAAUUUGCCUCGUGUUAAGAUCAUAAUUUGUUUUUCUAGAUAGUUUUAUAAUGUAUCACACCUUCCUUUAUUGCCCCACAAACACUAAAAAAAAAUCAUUGAAAAAAUUUACAUUAGUUUUUUCUUCUCUUUCCAUAUUUACAAAUUAUUGAAUGUAGUAUUUUCAAUAAAAUUAGUGGUUUACGAUUGAAGAAAAAUUAUAUAGGUUUUUUUCCGAAUAUCAUUUGUACUUUCUCUUGUAUUUUGAAUCGAGUUUCUCUUGAUUCUAGCAACUAUCCAAAACAUUGUAUCAAUAUUUAUAGUAUGUAUUUUUUGAGCAUAUUAGUUUGAGAUGGAAAAAAAUAUAUAUAUUGACAACAAAUGAAAACUGUUCCACAUUCAAUAAAAUAUAAAUAUUAUAUAUAUUUAAUAGGGAUAUUUAUACAUAAUGUCCAAUUUUCGAAUUGAGCAUACAAUAAAAAUUGAUCACUCAAAA
This is an RNA transcript of Phlebotomus papatasi, 7192 nucleotides long. RefSeq lists it as uncharacterized. The transcript has 7 exons. The record is from RefSeq and is a predicted model, not a curated record. NCBI's taxonomy places the organism in Eukaryota, Metazoa, Arthropoda, Insecta, Diptera, Psychodidae.